RNAcentral lists this ribosomal RNA (229 nucleotides) under uncultured prokaryote. RNAcentral's name for it is "partial 16S ribosomal RNA". It matches the Rfam family "Bacterial small subunit ribosomal RNA", at positions 524 to 752 of the family's 1533-position model. The record is from RNAcentral.
UACGAAGGGGGCUAGCGUUGCUCGGAAUCACUGGGCGUAAAGGGUGCGUAGGCGGGUAUUUAAGUCAGGGGUGAAAUCCUGGAGCUCAACUCCAGAACUGCCUUUGAUACUGAGUAUCUUGAGUACGGGAGAGGUGAGUGGAACUGCGAGUGUAGAGGUGAAAUUCGUAGAUAUUCGCAAGAACACCAGUGGCGAAGGCGGCUCACUGGCCCGUUACCGACGCUCAGGC